This 64-nucleotide transfer RNA is filed under the name Serratella sp. Liaoning-2019. RNAcentral's name for it is "tRNA-Asn". Lineage: Eukaryota; Metazoa; Arthropoda; Insecta; Ephemeroptera; Ephemerellidae. The record is from RNAcentral.
UUAAACGAAGCCAAAGAGAGGCCUAUCACUGUUAAUGAUAAAACUGACGGAAAGUCCGUUUAAG